UUCUUAACUGUCGAAAAAGUAAGAAAGAACUUGAAAUUAGUAUGAGAAAUAAAACAGAUGACGGAAACUUUUUCGUGAAACAGUGCAACUACAAUAUGCGAAAAAGUAGACAGGUAAAGCACACACACUUGGGAAGUGGAAACAUCUCGAAGUACCGUAGAUGUGAGAAAUAGAAAGAUGACACUGCAGAGCCAUAGUCAGCUGAGCAUGGACGUUGAGAUACUUGUCCGGUAAUUAUCAGGCCUUGAAGUAUAUGAAGUCCAUUUUUGCACCCCCACCCUCUUCUCUCCCUCUCAGUUUUCCACCCUGCAUUUUCACAGUCUGGGCGGCCCAGGAAAUGCCCUGUUGUCUCGGCUUUCCCUUGGCUCCACAAUUCACAUUUGCCUGCUAUCCCCACUUGAUCAGAUACACCAGCCGCUGGGAGAGGCUCAGGGGGUUUCUCUUCCGGGCAACUUCUUUUUCACAGUGAGUGCCCUGACAUCCAGAUGUCUCAACCGAAAGGACUGAGUUCAUAGUGAGAACCUCAGGUAUUCCACAGAGCCCAGAGGAGGAGGUAGCCAGGGGCAGGUGGAUGGUCUGUUCAGAUGUGCUCGUAGCAGCAGCCGAAGUGAGGAGAGUGUAAUUCACAAGAACGUCACUUCCCGUUUUUGGAGCUCAUCAGUGGGCAGGCACUGUGCAUUUUACUCAUUUAAAGCUUUAGCACACAAUUUGCCUUAGCCCCUGCUUUCUAAGGAACCCAGGCUAAGACAUCUGCCUUCCUGAUAAAGGAUUUCAGCUGCUCCAGCCACAGGCCUCCUUUGGGUCCAUCUGAUGGUCAGCAGCACCUUGGCCUUUCAAUUCAUUUCAUUCAACAGAAAUUUACUGAGCACCAUGUGCAAAUUGAUUGAACAAAGAUAAAAAGACAGUGUCCAAUAAAUAUGGGAGUGCUACCAGGCCUUAAUAAAGAAGAACGCAGAAAGGACAAAGGCAUUGCCAGCACCAAAUAAACUAGUCAUAGAUAUAAGUGGAGGACGUGGAAAGAGAUAGAGAUCUCAUUGCAGUUAAGUUCGCAUGUUCUGCAGAUUCUGAUUCCGGAUGUCUGGGGCGAGGUGCAAGACUGUGUUUCUAGCAAGCUCCCAAUGAUGUGGAUGCUGCUGGUCAAUGGCUCGUACUUUGAGCAGCAAGGCCCUAGAGCUUGUAUCUCAACCUGAAAAAGAAAGGGAACAUCCAGGCCGUAUUUAAAUUUGGAGAGGGCUUAGUUCAAAACAGAUGCAGAAAAACUGAUCAACAUCCAACUAAGCCAAAGAGCAUUGUAAGGCCCCAGGGAGUGAGGACUGUUUGGGACCAGCUUCGGACAGAAGUCAGGAUGCUGGGAGGAAAAGGAAGCAAAUGAAAGAGGAAGAAGACAGAUAAGGACUGGGAGGGAUAAACGAAAGCGAUUUCGUGUUGAGAAAGAGAGAAUGUCCUUUCAGGUUGAGAACAUUCCCCCAGUCUAGAUCAAAGCAGAGGCCGGGGCUCUGAUACACUCUGACAGAAGCGCUUUUUGCACAGAUGAGCAGCUCAGUGCCCUCAAAUGGACCAAUCUAAUUGC
Long non-coding RNA from Equus caballus (horse), 1570 nucleotides. Lineage: Eukaryota; Metazoa; Chordata; Mammalia; Perissodactyla; Equidae. The record is from Ensembl.